Molecule: ribosomal RNA, 951 nt
Filed under: uncultured bacterium
Lineage: Bacteria
Description: bacterial SSU rRNA
Rfam family: Bacterial small subunit ribosomal RNA
Source: RNAcentral
AGAGUUUGAUCAUGACUCAGAACGAACGCUGGCGGCGUGCUUAACACAUGCAAGUCGAGUGCGCGUUUCUGUAGCAAUACAGGAAUGGCGCACGGCGCACGGGUGCGUAACACGUGGGUAAUCUGCCCUCUGAUGGGGAAUAACCCGCCGAAAGGCGGACUAAUUCCGCAUAACAUUCCUUGGACUCCGGUUCGAGGAUUCAAAGGCGUAAGUCGUCGGAGGUGGAGCCCGCGCACGAUUAGCUAGUUGGUAGGGUAACGGCCUACCAAGACUUUGAUCGUUAGCUGGUCUGAGAGGAUGGCCAGCCACACUGGAACUGAGACACGGUCCAGACUCCUACGGGAGGCAGCAGUGGGGAAUCUUGCACAAUGGGCGAAAGCCUGAUGCAGCGACGCCGCGUGGGGGAUGAAGCUUCUCGGAGUGUAAACCCCUUUCGACCCGGACGAAUGCCCCGCAAGGGGAGUGACGGUACGGGUAUAAGAAGCCCCGGCUAACUACGUGCCAGCAGCCGCGGUAAGACGUAGGGGGCCAGCGUUGUUCGGAAUUACUGGGUGUAAAGGGUUCGUAGGCGGUGUGGCAAGUCGGGAGUGAAAUCUCUGGACUCAACUCAGAGACUGCUUCCGAAACUGCUGUGCUUGAGUGUGGGAGAGGCGCGUGGAAUUGCAGGUGUAGCGGUGAAAUGCGUAGAUAACUGCAGGAACACCCGUGGCGAAAGCGGCGCGCUGGACCACUACUGACGCUGAGAACGAAAGCUAGGGGAGCAAACAGGAUUAGAUACCCUGGUAGUCCUAGCCCUAAACGAUCAGGACUUGGGGUGCCACCCGUUCGGGUGUCGUCCCGGAGCUAACGCGUUAAGUCCUGCACCUGGGGAGUACGGUCGCAAGACUGAAACUCAAGGAAUUGACGGGGCCCCGCACAAGCGGUGGAACAUGUGGUUCAUUUCGACGCUAC